AGUUUGUAUCCUUUGACAGAUACGCGUAUUUCGAAAUACGCGUAUCUGUCAAAGGAUACAAACUC
RNAcentral lists this microRNA precursor (65 nucleotides) under Aedes aegypti (yellow fever mosquito). Its description in RNAcentral is "pre miRNA AAEL028928". Lineage: Eukaryota; Metazoa; Arthropoda; Insecta; Diptera; Culicidae. The record is from RNAcentral.